This 468-nucleotide ribosomal RNA is filed under the name uncultured bacterium. RNAcentral's name for it is "partial 16S ribosomal RNA". It matches the Rfam family "Bacterial small subunit ribosomal RNA", at positions 28 to 507 of the family's 1533-position model. The record is from RNAcentral.
GACGAACGCUGGCGGCGUGCUUAACACAUGCAAGUCGAGCGGUGAAAGAAGAGCUUGCUUUUCUGGAUCAGUGGCGAAGGGGUGAGUAUAACGUGAGUAUAACCCACCAAUCUCUGGGAUAAGAGCUCGAAACGGCGGAUAAUACAGGGUAUGAGACAUAGCACCGUAGCUACUAACUGGAAAGUUUUUCGGUCUGGGCUCGACUCGCGGCCUAUCAGCUUGUUGGUGAGGUAGCGGAUCACCAAGGCAACGACGGGUAGCCGGCCUGAGAGGGCGACCGGCCACACUGGGACUGAGACACGGCCCAGACUCCUACGGGAGGCAGCAGUGGGGAAUAUUGCACAAUGGGCGAAAGCCUGAUGCAGCGACGCCGCGUGAGGGAUGACGGCCUUCGGGUUGUAAACCUCUUUCAGCAGGGAAGAAGCGAAAGUGACGGUACCUGCAGAAGAAGCACCGGCUAACUACGUG